This 497-nucleotide ribosomal RNA is filed under the name uncultured bacterium. Its description in RNAcentral is "partial 16S ribosomal RNA". It matches the Rfam family "Bacterial small subunit ribosomal RNA", at positions 28 to 507 of the family's 1533-position model. The record is from RNAcentral.
GACGAACGCUGGCGGCGUGCCUAAUACAUGCAAGUAGAACGCUGAAGCGAGGAGCUUGCUCUUCUUGGAUGAGUUGCGAACGGGUGAGUAACGCGUAGGUAACCUGCCUGGUAGCGGGGGAUAACUAUUGGAAACGAUAGCUAAUACCGCAUAAAAUUGAUUAUUGCAUGAUAAUUAAUUGAAAGAUGCAACUGCAUCACUACCAGAUGGACCUGCGUUGUAUUAGCUAGUUGGUGAGGUAACGGCUCACCAAGGCGACGAUACAUGGCCGACCUGAGAGGGUGAUCGGCCACACUGGGACUGGGACACGGCCCAGGCUCCUACGGGAGGCAGCAGUAGGGAAUCUUCGGCAAUGGGGGGAACCCUGACCGAGCAACGCCGCGGGAGUGAAGAAGGUUUUCGGAUCGUAAAGCUCUGUUGUAAGAGAAGAACGGGUGUGAGAGUGGAAAGUUCACACUGUGACGGUAGCUUACCAGAAAGGGACGGCUAACUACGUG